This 3302-nucleotide ribosomal RNA is filed under the name Candidatus Woesebacteria bacterium. RNAcentral describes it as "23S ribosomal RNA". It matches the Rfam family "Bacterial large subunit ribosomal RNA". The record is from RNAcentral. Lineage: Bacteria; Candidatus Woeseibacteriota.
GUUUAAGUUUACUUAACGCAGACAGUGGAUGCCUUGGUCUAGAUUACCGAAGAAGGACGUGCAAGACUGCGAAAAGCGUCGGUGAGUUGUCAAGAAACAUUACAGCCGGCGAUGUCCGAAUGGGGAAACCCGCACUGCUUCACCGCAGUGAACUCGUGCUCCAAGGGGCACUCUAAACAGGUAACAAUUAACUACCAACUAGAAUUAGUAAUUGACUUUUAACUAUAAGUUAACAGUUGAAAACUCAUUGGUGUGUUGAUUGUUGUUUGUUUGGAGUGCCUAUUAAGGCGCGUAGAGGGAACCGCCCGAACUGAAACAUCUAAGUAGGGCGAGGAAGAGAAAUCAACGAGAUUGCCUAAGUAGCGGCGAGCGAAACGGCAAGAGCCCAAAGGUGUGCGUAGCACACAACAGUUAACAAUUAACAUUCAACUACCAACUUUAAAUUAAAGUGUUGGCAAUUGAUUGUUGUAAGUUGAAAGUUGUGUGCUAUGCGCACCGGUUGUGGGACCGCAACGUGGUAGUUUUUUUGAUAGCAGAAUGACAUGGAAUAGUCAGCCAUAGAACGUGAUAGACGUGUAUGCGAAAUCAAAAGGACGCCUAGCGGUAUCCCGAGUACGACGAUGCAUCUACAUCGUCGGAAUCUGGGGGAACCAUCCUCCAAGGCUAAAUAUGAUCUAGAACCGAUAGUGGACAAGUACCGUGAGGGAAAGGUGAAAAGAAGGGCGGAACGCCCAGUGAAAUAGAACCUGAAACUGUUUGCGAACAAUCCGAUAGAGCCAGUGCAUAGCACUGAACUAUUAACUUCCAACACACAACAAUUGACAUUUGGUUAAUUGUUGGGAGCUUGUAUAGAAGCGUGUUGAUUUGUUGAUGGUUCCGCGCUGUGCGCGGGUAAUAUCGUGCCUAUUGAAGAAUGAGCCAGUGAGUUUUCGUGUUUUUUAAGUUUAAGCCGUAAUUACGGCGAAGGCGUAGGGAAACCAAGUGUGAUAAGCGCGAAUAAAAAAACGCGGAAGACCCGAAACCAGGUGAGCUAUCCAUGAGCAGGGUGAAGCCCAUAGAAAUAUGGUGUGGAAGCCCGAACUCGUAUCAGAUGCAAUUGAUUGGGAUGACUUGUGGAUAGGGGUAAUAUGCUAAUCGUACCUGGAGAUAGCUGGUUCUCCCCGAAAGGUGUUUAGGCACCGUGGCAUCGAAAAACUACAGGGUGGUAGAGCUACUGAAUGGGAUAAUGAGGGUAAUCUGAGUUAUCUCAACCAAACUCCGAAUAACUUGUAGUAUGCGUUGCUAGACAGCCACACGGGGCUAAGCUCGUGUGACAAAAGGGAAACAACCCGGACUCUCGGCUAAGGUCUCUAAUGUAUCUUAAGUUUUUAAGGAAGUUUUUUAUCAUAGACAGCUAGGAGGUUGGCUUAGAAGCAGCCAUCCUUUAAAGAAAGCGUAACAGCUCACUAGUCGAUGAUAAGAAGCGCCGAAGAUGUAUCGAGGAUUAAAGAUACUACCGAAGCUAGAGGUGUCGUGCUUUGCACGCAACAACCAACAAAAACAGCCAACAGUCAACAAUUAAGUUGGAAAUUGGAAGUUGAUUGCUGCGUGCAGAGUGCGGCGCGGUAGGGGAGCGUUCCAAGGGCUUUGAAGGUGUGCUGUAAGGCAUGCUGGAGCGCUUGGAAGUGAGAAUGCUGGCAUAAGUAGCUUACAAGCUAGGUGAGAAUCCUAGCCGCCGAAUGUCCAAGGUUUCCGUCGCGAGGAUCGUCCCCGACGGGUUAGUCGGCUCCUAAGGCGAGGCCAUAAAGGCGUAGUCGAUGGACAACUAGUUAAUAUUCUAGUACUUUUCUUGUGUUGUUUGACCUGGGGAUCAACUGGAUUGGAGGACCGAAGCCGGUUCGCGAAGUCCGGUGCAAGCUGUAAGGUAGUUCAUAUUGGAAAAUCCGUAUGAAUGAUUAAUCGAGCAGUUAUGCAGAGUCUGGUGAGAGCCGGACGAUUUUGAAUAAUUCAAUCUACCAGAAACAAUUCGCAGUUAGACACAAGGAGAGCUGUACCGCAAACCAACACAGGUGGACUGGUCGAGAAGACUAAGGCGAGCGAGAGAAGGGGGCUCAAGGAACUCGGCAAAAAAACUACCCGUAACUUCGGGAGAUGGGUUGCCCCAAUUCUAUUUUAUUAUUGGGGUCGCAGCGAAAGUUUGUUAAUCGACUGUUUACCAAAAACACAGGUCCGUGCAAACUCGUAAGAGGACGUAUACGGGCUGACGCCUGCCCAGUGCCGGUAAGUUAAACGGCGGGGUGCCCCGAGCUUGUCUCGGGAUGCUCCAAAGCGAAGCUCCGGUAAACGGCAGCAGUAACUAUAACUGUUCUACGGUAGCGAAAUUCCUUGUCGUGUAAGUUACGACCCGCACGAAAGGCGUAACGAGUUAACAACUGUCUCGAGCCUCUACUCGGCGAAAUUGCGAUGGCUGUGAAGACGCGGCCUACUUCCACCAGGACAAGAAGACCCCGUGGAGCUUUACUAUAGCUUGACAUUGAUAUGUGCAUUUUAAUUGUCUAGUGUAGGAGGGAGUUCCGACCUUGUGUCGGAACAACAAUGUAACACCUCUCUUUGAAGUGUGGCAUAUCUUACUUACGUCGCCUGGAAACGGCGACAGGGACAGUGUUAGGUGGGUAGUUUGUCUGGGGCGGAUCCCUGCCAAAGUGUAACGCAGGGGUACAAAGGUUAGCUUGGCACGGAUGGACAUCGUGCUGUAAGUAUAAAGGCAUAAGCUAGCUUGACUGCGACAGUGACGGCUGGAGCAGGUGCGAAAGCAGGUCUUAGUGAUCCUCCGAUCCACCAUGGGUGUGGACGGAGCUUAUCGGAUAAAAGCUACCCCGGGGAUAACAGAGUGGUCGCACCCGAGCGUCCUUAGCGACGGUGCGGUUCGCUACCUCGAUGUCGGCUCAAGGUAUCCUGGGGCUGGAGAAGGUCCCAAGGGUUGGUCUGUUCGCCCAUUAAAACCUUACGCGAGCUGGGUUCAAACCGUCGUAAGACAGGUUGGACUGUAUCCGGUGGGAGCGUUAGAAUCUUGAGGAGAGCUCACCUCAGUACGAGAGGACCAGGUGGGGGGAAUCCCUAGUGUGCCGGUUGUGGCGUCAGCUGCAAAGCCGGGUAGCUACAUUCCUUGUUGGAUAACCGCUGAAAGCAUCUUAAGUGGGAAGCCCACUCCAAGAUGAGGAUUCUUUUAGACUCCUGGUAGAACACCAGGUAAACGACAGGCAGUGGAAGCCCCGUGAGGGGUUAAGCUAACCUGAAGCGAAUCAGUCGAAAAACUUAAACUA